UUGCCCUCUAGCUAUAGCAGCAGUCUAGCGCCGGCAGUCACGCUAUAGCAGCGGUUUAGCGUUCGAUCGUCGCGACAUCUAUAUUAGUUAAGCGCCGAUAGUCACGCUAUAGCAGCAGUUUGGCGUUCGAUCGUCGCGACAUCUAUAUUGACAGAGUGUGAUUACGCGUGGGUAUUUACAAGUACUCGAAUGUGGCAGGUACUUUAAAUACUCGAAUACCAUUCUGAUGAAUAUUUCCACGGUUUUCUUUGAAUGCUAUGAACAAUAUUUUGUACAACGUUUUCCGAAACAAAUAAUUCUGCGUUUUGUGUUUCACGUUUUCGAAUCUAAGAACCUAAAACAUUGUGACGUGUCAGCAGUUUCGGUAUGAUAGUGGUGGGCACUGUCGUGUUCCUGCCACGCCCGUUUUGUGCGGCCGACAUUCUUGUUCAGGAUUGUUUCUGAGGAUGGUUUGAUUUCCCUGGCGCUAAUGAGUGAGUUUAGGAAGUGAAAUCUUGCAUAACUCUAUGUGGAUUGAAUCAGAUAAAUGCCCGUUGUUGAUGGUGAUAUGAAACUAGCAGAUUUACCGUGAUCUCUGUCUGAUAUCAGCACUUGAACUCUGCGCUGGAUUUGUAUUUGUUUGCCGCAUUUCAUGUAUGUAGAGCUAAAGGUCCGCGAUAAGGCCUAGAAACUAGAAAGUAUUUUGAGAAUGUUAUUUUGUUUAAGGCUGUGAAUAGCCAAGCCAAAGGUGUUUCAGGUUUGUCCGUGUUUGAGUACCAAACUGAUAACUUUGUUUCUGCAGGAAUAAUAUGAAGAGACUGUUUCGACCGUGUGUCAGAGGGAAUCAGCCCCCCAGUUAGUCCGGCAUGAGGUGCACACAGUCAGUAAGUUUAACCGAUUGAACUGGUCGUUUUCAGUCUUAUGAUAGUAUGUGCCUAGUAUGUGCUACUUGCAGUCGAAAUGUGUCAAGGACGAACGAGUAUGGGUCAUGUCAAGGUCUAAUCGUCAGAUCGAGUGUGGCUCAGUUGUUGUGUUAGGGAAGAGCUCACUGCUGCUAUAUGUGACGAUUGUUCUGACGUGUUGCAGAAACGGAUCUAUAGACAAGAUGAAUACAAGGUCCUGUAUUUGACUACACCUGUUUUGGGACGGAGACAUGCCAGAACUAAUAGUUUUGACUGUCUGCUACAAGACUGCUCAUCCGACUGCAACUGGAGUGCAUCUACCACGAGACUGCUCACCCGACUGCAGUGAGUGCAUCUACCACAAGACUGCUCAUCCGACUGCAGUGAGUGCACCUGCCACGAGACUACUCAAUGAAACGCAGAAUAAUAUGAAGAGACUGUUUCGACCGUGUGUCAGAGGGAAUCAGCCCCCCAGUUAGUCCGGCAUGAGGUGCACACAGUCAGUAAGUUUAACCGAUUGAACUGGUCGUUUUCAGUCUUAUGAUAGUAUGUGCCUAGUAUGUGCUACUUGCAGUCGAAAUGUGUCAAGGACGAACGAGUAUGGGUCAUGUCAAGGUCUAAUCGUCAGAUCGAGUGUGGCUCAGUUGUUGUGUUAGGGAAGAGCUCACUGCUGCUAUAUGUGACGAUUGUUCUGACGUGUUGCAGAAACGGAUCUAUAGACAAGAUGAAUACAAGGU
Molecule: unclassified non-coding RNA, 1618 nt
Filed under: Amphibalanus amphitrite
Lineage: Eukaryota; Metazoa; Arthropoda; Thecostraca; Balanomorpha; Balanidae
Description: uncharacterized LOC122386410, transcript variant X7
Source: RNAcentral